GCAAGUCGAACGAGCAAGAGAGAGCUUGCUUUCUCGAGCGAGUGGCGAACGGGUGAGUAACGCGUGAGGAACCUGCCUCAAAGAGGGGGACAACAGUUGGAAACGACUGCUAAUACCGCAUAAGCCCACGGGUCGGCAUCGACCAGAGGGAAAAGGAGUGAUCCGCUUUGAGAUGGCCUCGCGUCCGAUUAGCUAGUUGGUGAGGUAACGGCCCACCAAGGCGACGAUCGGUAGCCGGACUGAGAGGUUGAACGGCCACAUUGGGACUGAGACACGGCCCAGACUCCUACGGGAGGCAGCAGUGGGGAAUAUUGCACAAUGGGGGAAACCCUGAUGCAGCGACGCCGCGUGGAGGAAGAAGGUCUUCGGAUUGUAAACUCCUGUUGUUGGGGAAGAUAAUGACGGUACCCAACAAGGAAGUGACGGCUAACUACGUGCCAGCAGCCGCGGUAAAACGUAGGUCACAAGCGUUGUCCGGAAUUACUGGGUGUAAAGGGAGCGCAGGCGGGAAGACAAGUUGGAAGUGAAAUCCAUGGGCUCAACCCAUGAACUGCUUUCAAAACUGUUUUUCUUGAGUAGUGCAGAGGUAGGCGGAAUUCCCGGUGUAGCGGUGGAAUGCGUAGAUAUCGGGAGGAACACCAGUGGCGAAGGCGGCCUACUGGGCACCAACUGACGCUGAGGCUCGAAAGUGUGGGUAGCAAACAGGAUUAGAUACCCUGGUAGUCCACACCGUAAACGAUGAUUACUAGGUGUUGGAGGAUUGACCCCUUCAGUGCCGCAGUUAACACAAUAAGUAAUCCACCUGGGGAGUACGACCGCAAGG
RNAcentral lists this ribosomal RNA (823 nucleotides) under uncultured bacterium. Its description in RNAcentral is "bacterial SSU rRNA". It matches the Rfam family "Bacterial small subunit ribosomal RNA", at positions 57 to 893 of the family's 1533-position model. The record is from RNAcentral.